GUCUGCUGAUGUGUGCAUAGGCGAAGAUAUCUCUGGAGGAAAAGUAGUGAUCAGCGUUUCAUACUUUGGGAUUCGUGUCCAUACCGAAACUCAUGACCUCUGCGAGGAGACGGCCUGUCCGGUUGCACCAGGCAACUUUGUGCUUUCUCAUUCUCAAACUCUCCCCUCAAUUACGCCGCCUGGCACUUACACGCUAAAGAUGACGAUAAACGACAAGAGCGGCGGAAGACUAACGUGCAUCAGCUUCAAAUUCAAGAUCACAUUAAAAUCCGCGGUCUUUGCUAGUUAAGUUUUAUGGUGUAAAUACGUUGACGUCUUUGUGAAUCUCUCUGUGUUUACUUUUGUGGUGUCUAAAUAGAGAAUCUGCGCUUUUGAGACUUGA
Molecule: non-coding RNA, 382 nt
Organism: Camelina sativa (false flax)
Lineage: Eukaryota; Viridiplantae; Streptophyta; Magnoliopsida; Brassicales; Brassicaceae
Source: RefSeq, a predicted model, not a curated record